RNAcentral lists this ribosomal RNA (407 nucleotides) under uncultured bacterium. Its description in RNAcentral is "partial 16S ribosomal RNA". It matches the Rfam family "Bacterial small subunit ribosomal RNA", at positions 28 to 526 of the family's 1533-position model. The record is from RNAcentral.
GACGAACGCUGGCGGCGUGCCUAAUACAUGCAAGUAGAACGCAGUUGCGCACGGGUGAGUAACGCGUAGGUAACUGCCUCAUAGCGGGGGGUUACUUACUGAAACGAUAGCUAAUACCGCAUACUGUGAGAUGGACCUGCGUUGUAUUAGGUAGUUGGUGAGGUAAAGGCUCACCAAGGCGACGAUACACAGCCGACUUUGGAGGGUGGUCGGCCAACACGGGAUCGGGAACCGGCCCCGAAUCCCACCGGAAGGAGCCAUAGGGAAUCUUCGGAAAUGGACGGAAGUCUGGCCGCGCACCGCCGGGGGAGUGAAGAAGGGUUUUGGAUCGUAAAACUAUGUUCUUCGAGAAGCGGUACCUACCCAGAAAGGGACGGCUAACUACGUGCCAGCAGCCGCGGUAAUUC